CAGUAGCCGCGGGAAUACAGAGGGUGCGAGCGUUAAUCGGAUUUACUGGGCGUAAAGCGUGCGUAGGCGGCUUUUUAAGUCGGAUGUGAAAUCCCUGAGCUUAACUUAGGAAUUGCAUUCGAUACUGGGAAGCUAGAGUAUGGGAGAGGAUGGUAGAAUUCCAGGUGUAGCGGUGAAAUGCGUAGAGAUCUGGAGGAAUACCGAUGGCGAAGGCAGCCAUCUGGCCUAAUAAUGACGCUGAGGUACGAAAGCAUGGGGAGCAAACAGGAUUAGAUACCCCCGUAGUCCCUGUCUCUUAUAC
This 301-nucleotide ribosomal RNA is filed under the name uncultured bacterium. RNAcentral's name for it is "partial 16S ribosomal RNA". It matches the Rfam family "Bacterial small subunit ribosomal RNA", at positions 509 to 807 of the family's 1533-position model. The record is from RNAcentral.